Malus domestica (apple) is the source of this 423-nucleotide long non-coding RNA. RefSeq lists it as uncharacterized. The record is from RefSeq and is a predicted model, not a curated record. NCBI's taxonomy places the organism in Eukaryota, Viridiplantae, Streptophyta, Magnoliopsida, Rosales, Rosaceae.
UGAACAUUUACUCUAAAAAAAAUCACAUAGAAUUCACAUGCUUUGGUAUGGUUCAAAAUGAUAUCAUGUGAAGAAGUUUCAUCAUUGCUUUGAUAUCAUGACUUUCGAUGUAGUUAAGAGUUUAUGUGCAGUUGCAUUUUUCUCUAUGUGCUGCAGUAUGAAUUCGUUGGUCAUUAGCGAAGCUGCAUGUUGUGGGAUGCAGAUAAAUGAACUGCAAAUGGUUACACCUUGCAGCCUGAGAUAUUUCAUCAGCUAAAGGAAGAUAUAGGGUGUGGUUUUGUUAAUGGCGGUGGAUGAUUUGGAUGAAAGUAAUAAACGUGGUCCAACUAGUAGCUGAUAAAAUGUCAUUGUAUAUAUGCUUUUGUCGAUUUCUGCUACAAUAAUGAGGGAAUCUAGAGGAUCGAGGCCAAUUGAUCUGAGGUU